AGUAAUAGAACCGACCUCGUAGGCUCAUCGGGAGGUCCUGAUGGGAGAACCCAUGCAACUUGCCACCACAGAGCCAGGCCCGCGGCGGUUGGCGCCUGAUGGGUAUUAAAGACGAGUCGGGAAAGAAGAGCAGGUUGACAGACUGGAUGCUGCUAUGAUAAUCUGCCUCAGAAAAAUGCCGGACUGUUGUUUGCAAGCUGGUUAAGUGAGCAAAUCUUGGGAAAAUUUCAAGUUUUUAUCAUCAGGAAACUCCCAAGCAUUCUGGAAGCUCUGCAUGCGAGUAAGAACCACUGCUGUUGCUGUAGCUGCCUGAAUCUAUGGCAAAAAGCCAGGAAAAAAAAAUUGCUUCACACCAUGUGCACCGACUCCCAUGGAGCUGGCACCACCAGGGUGUCUGCAGAGCUAUGUCUGACAGUCCUGCCAUUUCCUAACUUCUGCUGUGUGGUCAUCCACCUACCUUUGGGAACCUCCAGUCAUUACCCACAGAGUAGGUCUCAUCGUGGGAACUCUCUCUUGCCUUUCCCAGUGGUUCAUUCUCCAAGUCUGAGUUAUUUGGUCAAGAAAAACCCCAAAUGCUUCAGACAACUCUCGCAAACUUGUCAUAGCUUUUGGUGUUCCAGGCCACAGAAGAGCCCAGCCUAGGACCCCGACUCUGGCAGGGGAUGCUUCUGAACAGUGCUAAGUGGAAGCCCAUGAAAGAACAGACUGUUCUCAAGGCCCGUGGAGGAAAAGAUGUUACAAGCCAUCCCUCCAGAUUCCUGGACAAGCUCUGAGUCCCUGCCCAGAAACCAAAAGGCAGAAUCAGUGUUAUAUUUGUGGUCAGAUGAGCUAACGACAUCCUUCCUGACUUCUUUCUCAGAAUUAGGAAACCCUGAUUAGCAUUUAUAACCUCAUUUUCACAGACUUCACUCAUUAAAACAUCAAGACCUAGGUAACACAUCAGUGAAAUUUCAUAAUGUGGAGGAUAUGUUUAAAAUAUGUAUUUUAAACUGUGGUUAAAAUAUGUUUUUAAAAUGUUUAUGAGUCAAAAUAAUUAAAAUUGCCAUUUAAC
Molecule: non-coding RNA, 1051 nt
Filed under: Pongo abelii (Sumatran orangutan)
Lineage: Eukaryota; Metazoa; Chordata; Mammalia; Primates; Hominidae
Source: RNAcentral